CCAGGCUGAAGACUUUGCCGGAUUAGCUGAGAGGUGGUGCAUGGCCGUCGUCAGUUCGUACUGUGAAGCAUCCUGUUAAGUCAGGCAACGAGCGAGACCCACGCCCACAGUUGCCAGCGUACUCUCUGGAGUGACGGGUACACUGUGGGGACCGCCGCUGCUAAAGCGGAGGAAGGAAUGGGCAACGGUAGGUCAGUAUGCCCCGAAUAUCCCGGGCUACACGCGAGCUACAAUGGGUGGGACAAUGGGUAUCGACACCGAAAGGUGAAGGCAAUCUCCUAAACCCAUCCGUAGUUCGGAUUGUGGGCUGCAACUCGCCCACAUGAAGCUGGAAUCUGUAGUAAUCGUGUCUCAAAAUGGCACGGUGAAUAUGUCCCUGCUCCUU
RNAcentral lists this ribosomal RNA (385 nucleotides) under uncultured Methanolinea sp. Its description in RNAcentral is "bacterial SSU rRNA". It matches the Rfam family "Archaeal small subunit ribosomal RNA", at positions 954 to 1338 of the family's 1478-position model. The record is from RNAcentral. Lineage: Archaea; Methanobacteriati; Methanobacteriota; Methanomicrobia; Methanomicrobiales; Methanoregulaceae.